Suricata suricatta (meerkat) is the source of this 854-nucleotide long non-coding RNA. RefSeq lists it as uncharacterized. The transcript has 2 exons. The record is from RefSeq and is a predicted model, not a curated record. Lineage: Eukaryota; Metazoa; Chordata; Mammalia; Carnivora; Herpestidae.
GAGCGGAGUCCCUCCCGCUGCCUGUCAAGACACAAGCCCCGCCCACUCCCUGGGACUCGCGGAGCGCGCCUGGAGCCUGUCAGGCACUAGGCCCCGCCCCUGCGCUCUCCCAGGCUUGCAGUGCUCUGCCAGUGAGCUCAGUGGACCCGCCUGGGGCAGUGGGCGGAAAGUCAUGAUCUGUGGACUCAGAUGCAUACAGGUUCGAAUGCCAACCCUGCCUGCCACUUACUCAAAGUCAUGGAGCAGCGCCAUGCCUCAGUUUACUUAUCUGUGCCGUGAAUACAGCGAGGCCUCUCUGAAAUUGGUUCAGGAGCUCAGGCUUGGAAGUACCUGGCUUAGGGCCUGGCACUUCGUAGUGCCCAGGAAAUGUUUGUAAAUACACUGUGGGCCACCUCCUCCAGGAAGCCACCUCAGCCUUACCACCCCUGGGUGUCUGGAGUGCUCUGUUCGAAAUGGGCCAUGUGACCUUGGGCUAGUCAUUUCAACUCAGAACCAGCUGCUUAUCCAUCUGUAAAAUGGGCACCCAGCAGAGGCUACCUCCCUACCAGGAGUGCAAGCCUGGUCCAUGAGGUUUUCUAGGUUCAGGCUCCUGCCAUCCACUUGGACUUCUGUGCUUCCUAUGCUCCCCUUCGCCCUCUCUGUUCCUUGCUAUGUUCGAGGGUCUUAGUGCUUCCCCUUGAACAUGCCACUACCGGUCUUGCCUCGUAAGGCUUUCACCCUCACUGUUUCCCCUGCCUGGAACACCUUCCCCUCCCCCUCACCCCACCCCAGGAUCAUGGGGGUGAUUUCCUACCAGCCUGCAGGCCUCUGCUUAAAUGAACUCCUAUAAAAGACCUUCCUGGUCAUGUCCCCAA